RNAcentral lists this long non-coding RNA (737 nucleotides) under Helianthus annuus (common sunflower). Lineage: Eukaryota; Viridiplantae; Streptophyta; Magnoliopsida; Asterales; Asteraceae. The record is from RNAcentral.
AUGAGAUUAAGAGAUGAGACACGUUUGUAUUCGCACAAUUCAUUCAUUCUCUAUAGACCUAUCGUUGUAAAAAUCAACCACGAUUUAUAAAAUAACUUAAACACGUAGCUUAGACACAUCAUUAUUAUAAUCCAUAUUUAAAAACAUUAUUGCACAUUUGUUUUUUACCAUAAAGUUGAGGGACUUGAGUGAAAGUUACCAUAUAGUUUAGGGACAGCUAGCUAGGGCUUGCAAACCACAACCCGUACUAUCAUCGCAUUUGCAAAAAUACACGACCACUUCGCCGGAGCCGGUGACGAUUGAAAAAUGGGGGAGAAGAAGAAGAGUGCAACAAUUCUCAUAAGGCUGGUUUCUGCAGCAGGGACCGGCUUUUUCUACGUGAAGAAGAAGAAUCCGAGGAAGAUACAAACCAAGUUAGAGUUCAGAAAGUAUGAUCCGCGUGUCAAUCGUCAUGUUCUGUUCACUGAGGCCAAGAUGAAAUGAUCGCGAUACAAUCUAGAUACGAAAAGCAUUAAUCUUUUCUAGUUUUGUAUGAUCAUGAUGAACUAUGCUUCUGUCACUGUCUUUUUAUAGUAUGUAAGCCACUGAAUUAAAACAUUUAAUUUCAACACUUGUUUUAGUUGAGUAUUGAAUUGGAUAUGAGUCUUUUUGGUUAGAGUUUGGAUGCUUGAAGCAUUUAAAGACUGUUAAAAUGGAAAUGAGUUGAACCCGUUAAACGGGUUGAAACUUGAAAGUGA